AUACGGAGGGGGCAAGCGUUGUUCGGAAUGACUGGGCGUAAAGGGCGCGUAGGCGGAUGUGUAAGUUGGGGGUGAAAGGCCUGGGCUCAACCUGGGAAUUGCCUCCAAAACUACACGUCUUGAGAUCGGAAGAGGAUGGCGGAAUUCCCAGUGUAGAGGUGAAAUUCGUAGAUAUUGGGAAGAACACCGGUGGCGAAGGCGGCCAUCUGGUCCGACACUGACGCUGAGGCGCGAAAGCGUGGGGAGCAAACAGGAUUAGAAACCCCAGUAGUCC
This 274-nucleotide ribosomal RNA is filed under the name uncultured bacterium. RNAcentral describes it as "partial 16S ribosomal RNA". It matches the Rfam family "Bacterial small subunit ribosomal RNA", at positions 523 to 796 of the family's 1533-position model. The record is from RNAcentral.